This 253-nucleotide ribosomal RNA is filed under the name uncultured bacterium. RNAcentral describes it as "partial 16S ribosomal RNA". It matches the Rfam family "Bacterial small subunit ribosomal RNA", at positions 524 to 776 of the family's 1533-position model. The record is from RNAcentral.
UACGUAGGUGGCAAGCGUUGUCCGGAUUUACUGGGCGUAAAGGCUGCGUAGGCGGAUAUUUAAGUGGGAUGUGAAAUACCCGGGCUCAACUUGGGUGCUGCAUUCCAAACUGGAUAUCUAGAGUGCAGGAGAGGUAAGCGGAAUUCCUGGUGUAGCGGUGAAAUGCGUAGAUAUCAGGAGGAACACCUGUGGUGUAGACAGCUUACUGGACCAUUUCUGACGCUGAGACACGAAAGCGUGGGUAGCAAACAGG